RNAcentral lists this ribosomal RNA (497 nucleotides) under uncultured bacterium. RNAcentral's name for it is "partial 16S ribosomal RNA". It matches the Rfam family "Bacterial small subunit ribosomal RNA", at positions 28 to 507 of the family's 1533-position model. The record is from RNAcentral.
GAUGAACGCUGGCGGCGUGCCUAAUACAUGCAAGUCGAGCGAACGGACGAGAAUCUUGCUUCUCUGAUGUUAGCGGCGGACGUGAGAGUAACACGUGGAUAACGUACCUAUAAUACUGGGAUAAUUACGGGAAACCGGAUCUAAUACCAGAUAAUAUUCUGAACCGCAUGGGUCAAAAGUGAAAUACGGUCGUUCUGUCACUUAUAGAUGCAUCCGCGCUGCAUGAGCUAGUUGGGAAGGUAACGGCUUACCAAGGCAAGUAUGCAUAGCCGACCUGAGGGGGUGAUCGGCCACCCUGGAACUGAGACAGGUUCAAGACUCCUACGGGAGGCAGCAGUAGGGAAUCUUACGCAAUGGGGGAAAGCCUGACGGAGCAACGCCGCGUGAGUGAUGACGGUCUUCGGAUCGUAAAACUCUGUUAUUAGGGAAGAACAUAUGUGUACGUAACUGUGCACAUCUUGACGGUACCUAAUAAGAAAGCCACGGCUAACUACGUG